UCCCAUUUAUAGUACAGUAAUGUAGAGAACUGAGGUGUUUAUCCUGCUUAUACCACAGUAAUGUAGAGAACGGAGGUGUUUAUCCUGCUUAUACCACAGUAAUGUAGAGAACUGAGGUGUUUAUCCUGCUUAUACCACAGUAAUGUAGAGAACAGAGGUGUUUAUCCCAUUUAUAGUACAGUAAUGUAGAGAACAGAGGUGUUUAUCCCAUUUAUAGUACAGUAAUGUAGAGAACAGAGGUGUUUAUCCCAUUUAUACUACAGUAAUGUAGAGAACAGAGGUGUUUAUCCCAUUUAUACUACAGUAAUGUAGAGAACAGAGGUGUUUAUCCCAUUUAUACCACAGUAAUGUAGAGAACAGAGGUGUUUAUCCCAUUUAUACUACAGUAAUGUAGAGAACAGAGGUGUUUAUCCCAUUUAUACCACAGUAAUGUAGAGAACAGAGGUGUUUAUCCCAUUUAUAGUACAGUAAUAUACCACAGUUGCCAAAGAAAACAAUACUAACAUUUGUUUGUUGAUGGUUUCAUUUAUAUAAGGAAAUUCAUGCUUUCUCAUAUUUUGGUUGUUAGAGACGUGACCCUCUGAUAUUUAUAGACGUGACCCAGCCUUCAGUUCGCUUAGUUUGAUAUUUAUGGACGUGACCCAGUACUUAGUUUGAUAUUUAUAGACGUGACCCAGUCAUUAUUCUGAUAUUUAUAGACGUGACCCAGUCAUUAUUCUGAUAUCUAUAGACGUGACCCAGUCAUUAUUCUGAUAUUUAUAGACGUGACCCAGUCAUUAUUCUGAUAUCUAUAGACGUGACCCAGUCAUUAUUCUGAUAUUUAUAGACGUGACCCAGUCAUUAUUCUGAUAUUUAUAGACGUGACCCAGUCAUUAUUCUGAUAUUUAUAGACGUGACCCAGUCAUUAUUCUGAUAUCUAUAGACGUGACCCAGUCAUUAUUCUGAUAUCUAUAGACGUGACCCAGUCAUUAUUCUGAUAUUUAUAGACGUGACCCAGUCAUUAUUCUGAUAUUUAUAGACGUGACCCAGUCAUUAUUCUGAUAUUUAUAGACGUGACCCAGUCAUUAUUCUGAUAUUUAUAGACGUGACCCAGUCAUUAUUCUGAUAUUUAUAGACGUGACCCAGUCAUUAUUCUGAUAUCUAUAGACGUGACCCAGUCAUUAUUCUGAUAUUUAUAGACGUGACCCAGUCAUUAUUCUGAUAUUUAUAGACGUGACCCAGUCAUUAUUCUGAUAUUUAUAGACGUGACCCAGUCAUUAGUUUGAUAUUUAUAGACGUGACCCAGUCAUUAUUCUGAUAUUUAUAGACGUGACCCAGUCAUUAUUCUGAUAUUUAUAGACGUGACC
This is a long non-coding RNA of Oncorhynchus keta (chum salmon), 1346 nucleotides long. RefSeq lists it as uncharacterized. Lineage: Eukaryota; Metazoa; Chordata; Actinopteri; Salmoniformes; Salmonidae. The record is from RefSeq and is a predicted model, not a curated record. The transcript is spliced from 3 exons.